GUGAAGAACGCAGCGAAAUGCGAUAAGUAGUGUGAAUUGCAGGAUUCAGUGAAUCAUCGAAUCUUUGAACGCACAUUGCGCCCUUUGGUAUUCCUUAGGGCAUGCCUGUUCGAGCGUCAUUUAAACCUUCAAGCUAAGCUUGGUGUUGGGUGACUGUCCGCUUCACGGCGGACUCGCCUCAAAAUUAUUGGCGGCCGGUACAUUGGCUUCGAGCGCAGCAGAAACGCGAACUCGGGCCCGUCGUAUUGGCUCCCAGAAGCUAUCUUCACAAUUUUGACCUCGGAUCAGGUAGGGAUACCCGCUGAACUUAAGCAUAUCAAUAAGCGGAGGA
This 331-nucleotide unclassified non-coding RNA is filed under the name soil metagenome. RNAcentral's name for it is "partial contains 5.8S ribosomal RNA, internal transcribed spacer 2, and large subunit ribosomal RNA". The stretch from base 2 to 119 matches the Rfam family "5.8S ribosomal RNA", at positions 37 to 154 of the family's 154-position model. The record is from RNAcentral.